CAUGACCCCGCCACCGCCGUCCCCACUCCUAGGCACACAGGUCGAGGAGGACCGCGCUGACUACAAAGAGUUCCAGGACUUCUCCAGUCUGCCCGACACCCGCAGCAUCGCCUGGGACGACUCUUUCUACCCUUUCCAGGAGGAGGAGGAGCACGGCGUCGAGGGCGUGGAGAGCGUCCUGGAGGAGGGCGUCCUGGAGGAGGGCGUCCUGGAGGCGUGGGGCUGCUGCAGACGUUGGUGCGGCGGGGGGUGAGCGUUGAGAAGGCUCAGGAGACUGACCACAAUGGCCAGAGCGGCCUUAAUGUCGCCUGCUACCACGGCUUUGUGGAUAUACCGUGGUGGCCUUAGCUGAGUGCCCCCACAUUGAAGUCAACUGGCAGGACAGGGAGGGGAACGCAACCCUAAUCAUAGCUGCACAGGCAGGAGCUGCCCCUGCCGCCAUGCAGGGUCGAACCGAUCGCAUCCGAGCCCUGAGCUAGCAGGGGCGGGUGUCCACGCGAGGGCCCCCGCCGUGGGAGGUCGCCAGAGGAGUGGCCACUUACACGUCCGUCUCAUGCAGAGGCUCCUGGAGCGCCCCUGCCAGGAGCGGCUGGGGAAAAAGUACCAGCUUGAGCUGCCUCCGCUCCACGAGAGGGUGCGGAAGCCCGAGGGCUCGAAGAACUGCCUGCAGAGGGUCAGGGACUGCGAGCUGUCCACGCUGACGCCGCGCUCCGUGCGUGGCCCGGAGGACCGGGGCGCCCUGGACCACAUGGUCAGGAUGACCACCAGCCUCUAACAGCCCCGCCGUGGCCCUCGCGUGCCAGACCGUGUGCCCCCAGAGCUCCCUGUGCGUGGGGAAGAGGCGGCUGGCGGUGCAGGAAAUCCUGGCGGCUCAGGAAAUUCUGGCGGCGCGGCUGGGGGUGGGGAGGCAGGCGCAGGAGGCGGGCGAAGCGGAGAGCGCAGAGCAGCACAAGCCGCCCUGCCCAGAGGCCGCGGGCUCCCGGGAGGGCUCCCUAAGAGCCGGCCUCCCACCUGCCCCGCUGCCAGGGUCCUGGGGCUCUGGCGACCCCGCCCCGCGGAAGGCCAGCCUCCUGCCCCUGCAGCGCCUGCAGCGGAGCAGCUUGCGGCCCGGCGUGGUGGUGCCCCGGGUCCGCCUCAGCAAGGCGCCCGUGCCCACCUUCCAGCCCCAGAGGCCGGCU
Molecule: long non-coding RNA, 1178 nt
Filed under: Homo sapiens (human)
Lineage: Eukaryota; Metazoa; Chordata; Mammalia; Primates; Hominidae
Description: non-protein coding lnc-TRIM64B-1:1
Source: RNAcentral